Dipodomys ordii (Ord's kangaroo rat) is the source of this 125-nucleotide non-coding RNA. Lineage: Eukaryota; Metazoa; Chordata; Mammalia; Rodentia; Heteromyidae. The record is from Rfam.
GUCUAUGACCAUACCACCCUGAACGCACCCGAUCUUGUCUGAUCACGGAAGCUAAGCAGGGUUGGGCCUGGUUAGGACUUGGAUGGCAGAAAUGUGCCGCGGCGAAUCGGCAGCGUUAGUAUACC